Molecule: long non-coding RNA, 2262 nt
Organism: Rattus norvegicus (Norway rat)
Lineage: Eukaryota; Metazoa; Chordata; Mammalia; Rodentia; Muridae
Source: Ensembl
CAAAUUCAGCAAUUGCCAAGCUUAUGCAGUGAAGUAAACCACUGGAAACAGGAAGCUGGUGAAGAUGUAAUUGAACAAGAGGGGCAUGUUCUAGCCCCAGCAAGCAGCAGGACUUGGAAGCUUUGGCCAAGUGAUUCCGGGUUUAGAGUCAAGAACUCUUGACUCUAAAUUAUUGGAUUGAGUUAUGAAAUCUCCCUUUAUGACUAAGGAAAGUCACUGAGGUCAGUUGGGUGGCAGGAGGCUCAGAGGGGCCAUUGAGUGAAGCUGUGAAGGUGAAAUCUGGAUUUCCUCGGAGACCCCAAGAGGUUAGAGAUGCCAGAGCUGUGGGAUAUCUGUCAAGGAAAGCUGCUAACAGGGAGUGGAAACAGCUCAAGAGAAAGAAGUGUGUUUCAGUCAACAAAGCUGAAAGGAGUUGGAAGUCUGAAGAACAUUUUGACAUCAGACAUGGAGAUCCAGAAUUUGGAGUUUGGUUUUUGGUCUUGCUUUGGAACCAACAAUGGAAAACUUUUAUCCCAGCUAAUGAGAACCACAAAGCCGUAAACUACCUCACCACAGGGUGAGGGGAAAGGGCUGCCGUGGGUCCGUCUGCACAGGAGUUCCUCAGAGGAGUGUGGUGACUGACUCUUCACAGUGUGGAGGAUCUUCUCUGAGAGGAGUCAGAAACUCUGGAGGUGACCUUCGCUGACCCAGUCAGCUUCUCACAGGAGAGCUCACCAGCUGCACACACCACUGAUCUGGAGGAGGAAAGGAAUGCAGUUUUUGCUGAGAGAUGUAUAAAGUUCGUGGGGAUAAGCAGUGAUUGGCGAGACUCUCGGAAUUCACCUCUUGCCAUCGGCUCACUGAAAUCAGUCUGAUGUCUUGGUUACAAAUCCAACUUCGACACUUGUGUGUGCUCCCAAUGCUGCUGCUGACCUCCCUGCUCCCUUAGCUGUAAAGCAUAAACAAUCCAGUUGGUAACACUCAUCUGCAAAUGUUGCUGAGAAAUCAGAAGAAAUAAGAAAAAGAAGUCAUUUCAAAGUCGGUUUUUGUGUGCAUGUAUGGCUGGGUACCUCAUGCAUGCAGUGCCCUGGAGGCCAGAAGACUUUGGAUUCCCCUGGAACUGGCGUUAUGGACGGUUGUGAGCCAUUAAAUGGGUUCUGGUAAACGAACCUGUGUCUUCUGCAUGAAGGACAACUGCUUUUAAAGCAUUUCACCAUCUCUCCUGCCCACGCAAAGUUGAUUUUUAAAAUAAACUUUAUUAUAAAAAAAAAACCUGGGAAUAAAGAACAUCAUGGACUAAAAUUAACCAGACCCAAAGUCUGCACAUCAACGACGAACAAGAGGUUUAAGUGAAACACAAAAAUAAAUGACUAAAAAAUCAUAAUAACAGGGAGGCCUCAGGGAACAGAAGGGAGCAAGUUUGAAAGGAAUCGCUAGCAGGUACAAAGUAUCCCUCCUCCUCUCCCCCUGAGAACAUUCAUACGUCUCAAGGAAGCUUCUAGAAUCCAUAUUCUCUCACACAAAGCCUUAACUGCCCCUGUGGGUUUUAUUCUGACAGCAGUCCUCAGGGCAGCAAGUAGACAGUAGAUGCUUCUACCAUAGAAGUCGUCCCUCUAAGGAGAGCAGAUGUCCAACUGUCUGGAAGAGAAUUUAUCACAAGCAUCUUCGCUUCCUCGAAAGGCCAUUGCUGGUCAGUUUGUGCCCAGGGCAGUUCUGUGAGACUAGGGCAACAAUUUUGGCAGCUGUAGAUUGUGGGGAGUCACUGUUUCUUGGGGGGCUUGUCCUACAGCAGCCAGGGGCCCGGAAGUCUCUGGAAGGAAAAAGACCUUGUUGGCAAAGCCCCCCCACUCAAUGCCUUACUAGUGCAUUUGAGGCUGCUCCCUUGAUCUCUGCCCCUGAGUCUGGUUUUAACCCGAAUGUAGAUGGUACAUACUUACCCCUCAAUGCAAAUAUGUAAAUAGAUACAAAUAUGCAUUUUACAUGUAUAGGUGAGCCCUUUGCAAAUGUGAAGAAAAAAUUCUUGUGAAUUGUCUUUAUUAUAUUUUUGUACCUACUAUUUCUUUUUAAAGAAGAUUUGCUUUUAUUUUAUGUAUGUAUAUGAGUGCCCCCAUAUAAAUAUAUUCCCAUGGAGGCCAGAAGAGGGCACUGGAUCCCCUAGAACUGGAGUUAGAGAUGGUCGUUGAGCCACCAUGUGGGUGUUGAGAACUGAACCAGGACCUUCUACAAGGGCAGGGAGGGCUCUUUACCAAUGAGCCACCUCUCCAGCCCCAGCUUCCAUUGUCC